ACGAGUAGGGCUACNCACGUGCUACAAUGGCGUAUACAAAGAGAAGCGACCUCGCGAGAGCAAGCGGAACUCAUAAAGUACGUCGUAGUCCGGAUUGGAGUCUGCAACUCGACUCCAUGAAGUCGGAAUCGCUAGUAAUCGUAGAUCAGAAUGCUACGGUGAAUACGUUCCCGGGCCUUGUACACACCGCCCGUCACACCAUGGGAGUGGGUUGCAAAAGAAGUAGGUAGCUUAACCUUCGGGAGGGCGCUUACCACUUUGUGAUUCAUGACUGGGGUGAAGUCGUAACAAGGUAACCGUAGGGGAACCUGCGGUUGGAUCACCU
RNAcentral lists this ribosomal RNA (325 nucleotides) under Providencia alcalifaciens. RNAcentral describes it as "bacterial SSU rRNA". It matches the Rfam family "Bacterial small subunit ribosomal RNA", at positions 1204 to 1528 of the family's 1533-position model. Lineage: Bacteria; Pseudomonadati; Pseudomonadota; Gammaproteobacteria; Enterobacterales; Morganellaceae. The record is from RNAcentral.